AACGAACGCUGGCGGCGUGGAUUAGGCAUGCAAGUCGAGCGAGAACGGUGGAACUUUGAGGAGUUCGCUUCUCAAAGGGAAGCCUAGUAAAGCGGCGAACUGGUGAGUACAAGGUGGGUAAUUUACCUCAAAGUGGGGGAUACCCCCGGGAAACCGGGAUUAAUACCGCAGUGGUUUUGGGAUCUCCGGAUGUCAAGACUGAAGGUGGCUCUUACUUCAAUUAGAGCUGUCGCUUUGAGAUAAGCCCGCCCCCCAUUAGCUAGUUGGUAGGGUAAAAGCCUACCAAGGCAACGAUGGGUAGCUGGUCUUAGAGGAUGGUCAGCCACACUGGGACUGAGAUACGGCCCAGACUCCUACGGGAGGCAGCAGUCUAGAGGCUUCGGCAAUGGGGGAAACCCUGACCGAGCGACGCCGCGUGUGGGAUGAAGCCCCUCGGGGUGUAAACCACUGUCAGGGAGGAAGAAUACGCCGGAGGUGAUAAGCCUCUGGCGGGAGACGGUACUUCCAAAGGAAGCCCCGGCUAACUCCGUGCCAGCAGCCGCGGUAAUACGGAGGGGGGCAAGCGUUGUUCGGAAUUAUUGGGCGUAAAGGGCGCGUAGGCGGGUAGGUAAGUCUGGUGUGAAAACUCGCCGCUCAACGGGAAGAGUGCACCAGAAACUGCCCAUCUUGAGUGCGAGAGAGGUGAGUGGAAUUCCUGGUGUAGCGGUGGAAUGCGUAGAUAUCAGGAAGAACACCGGUGGCGAAGGCGGCUCACUGGCUCGCUACUGACGCUGAGGCGCGAAAGCCAGGGGAGCGAACGGGAUUAGAUACCCCGGUAGUCCUGGCCGUAACCGGUGGACACUAGGUGUGGGAGGUAUCGACCCCUUCCGUGCCGUAGCUAACGCAUUAAGUGUCCCGCCUGGGGAGACGAUCGCAAGGUU
This 920-nucleotide ribosomal RNA is filed under the name uncultured bacterium. RNAcentral's name for it is "bacterial SSU rRNA". It matches the Rfam family "Bacterial small subunit ribosomal RNA", at positions 28 to 895 of the family's 1533-position model. The record is from RNAcentral.